AGACAUUCGCAGAAAACGAGCAAACUCGAAAAACAUCUACACCACAAUUGAUCUAAUUAGAAGAGAACAUUUCGAGCAACCUGCACGUGUCCAAUGGUUAUAUAUAGAAUAUAUUGUAGUCUUUCGCAUUUAAAUAUAAUAUAUGGUAAACAUCAUACAUGCACGUACUUGAGGUAUAGAGAAACCAGGCUGCAGGAUGAUUUAUUGUCUACUCCAAUAUGCUCAUAUAAUACUAUAAUAUUAUAAUAUGCCUUAAAUUAAAUUUGUCAACG
Molecule: non-coding RNA, 272 nt
Organism: Paramuricea clavata
Lineage: Eukaryota; Metazoa; Cnidaria; Anthozoa; Malacalcyonacea; Plexauridae
Source: the annotation of a GenBank genome assembly